RNAcentral lists this ribosomal RNA (779 nucleotides) under Lytta vesicatoria (Spanish fly). RNAcentral's name for it is "partial large subunit ribosomal RNA". The stretch from base 1 to 585 matches the Rfam family "Archaeal large subunit ribosomal RNA", at positions 1921 to 2987 of the family's 2987-position model. The record is from RNAcentral. Lineage: Eukaryota; Metazoa; Arthropoda; Insecta; Coleoptera; Meloidae.
GUCUUUUUGAUAAUUAUUUAAGGUUUGGCCUGCUCCAUGAGUAAUAAAUAGCCGCAGUAUUUUGACUGUGCAAAGGUAGCAUAAUCAUUAGUUUUUUAAUUGAAAGCUGGAAUGAAGGGUCGGAUGAGAAAGUUUCUGUCUCACUAUUAUUUUAUUUGAAUUUUAUAUUUAAGUUAAAAAGCUUAAAUAUUAUAGAAAGACGAGAAGACCCUAUAGAGUUUAAUAGGUUUAUUUUAUAUUUAUUUGUAGGUUUAAUUUUAAUUAUAGGAUUAUUUGGUUGGGGUGACAUAAGAAUUUGAUAAACUUCUUAUUAUAUUUACAUUGAUUAAUGAAUAUUUGAUCCUAUUAUUUAGAUUAUAAGAAUAAAUUACCUUAGGGAUAACAGCGUAAUUUUUUUAGAGAGUUCUUAUCGAUAAAAGGGAUUGCGACCUCGAUGUUGGAUUAAAGUUAAUUUUUGGUGCAGAAGCUAGGAUUUUAAGUCUGUUCGACUUUUAAAACUUUACAUGAUCUGAGUUUAAACCGGCGUGAGCCAGGUUGGUUUCUAUCUUUUAUAGUUAAAAUAUUUUAGUACGAAAGGACCAGAUAUUUAAAUAAGAUUUUUUAUGAGUAAAAUUGUUAUUUUGGCAGAAUAGUGCAAUAGAUUUAGAAUCUUUAAAUGUAAUUUUACAAAUAACAAUUUAUUUUAUUGAUUUAAUUAUAUUGCUUAUUUCUAUAUUAGUAUUAGUUAUUUGUGUUUUGGUGGGGGUAGCUUUUUUAACUUUAAUAGAACGUAAGGUUUU